RNAcentral lists this ribosomal RNA (462 nucleotides) under uncultured bacterium. RNAcentral's name for it is "partial 16S ribosomal RNA". It matches the Rfam family "Bacterial small subunit ribosomal RNA", at positions 338 to 795 of the family's 1533-position model. The record is from RNAcentral.
CCUACGGGUGGCAGCAGUGAGGAAUAUUGGUCAAUGGACGCAAGUCUGAACCAGCCAAGUAGCGUGCAGGAUGACGGCCCUCCGGGUUGUAAACUGCUUUUAGUUGGGAAUAAAAGGGGGCUCGUGAGCCCCGUAUUGUAUGUACCAUCAGAAAAAGGACCGGCUAAUUCCGUGGCAGCAGCCGCGGUAAUACGGAAGGUCCGGGCGUUAUCCGGCUUUAGUGGGUUUAAAGGGAGCGUAGGCCGGCUUUUAAGUCAGCUGUGAAAGUCCGCGGCUCAACCGUGGAAUUGCAGUUGAAACUGGAGGCCUUGAGUGCACACAGGGAUGCCGGAAUUCAUGGUGUAGCGGUGAAAUGCUUAGAUAUCAUGAAGAACUCCGAUCGCGAAGGCAAGUGUCCGGGGUGCAACUGACGCUGAGGCUCGAAAGUGCGGGUAUCAAACAGGAUUAGAUACCCUUGUAGUC